Molecule: ribosomal RNA, 559 nt
Filed under: Anomaloglossus beebei (Beebe's rocket frog)
Lineage: Eukaryota; Metazoa; Chordata; Amphibia; Anura; Aromobatidae
Description: partial 16S ribosomal RNA
Rfam family: Bacterial large subunit ribosomal RNA
Source: RNAcentral
CGCCUCUUGAUUGAACCAUAAGAGGUCCAGCCUGCCCAGUGACAUUGUUCAACGGCCGCGGUAUCCUAACCGUGCGAAGGUAGCGUAAUCACUUGUCCCUUAAAUGGGGACUAGUAUGAAUGGCCCCACGAAAGCUAUACUGUCUCCUUUUUCCAAUCAGUUAAACUAAUCUUCCCGUGAAGAAGCGGGAAUAAACAUGCAAGACGAGAAGACCCUAUGGAGCUUUAAACAAUUGAAACACUUGCACUUUAUUUUUAAACCUACAUUAAACCUCACAUUUUGUUUCUAGUUUUAGGUUGGGGUGACCGCGGAGAAAAAACUAACCUCCACGUUGAAAGAGAUUUUUCCUCUAAACAAAAAGCUACAUCUUUAUGUAUUAACAUAUUAACCUUAAUUGACCCAAUUUAUUGAUCAACGAACCAAGUUACCCUAGGGAUAACAGCGCAAUCCAUUUCAAGAGCCCUUAUCGACAAAUGGGUUUACGACCUCGAUGUUGGAUCAGGGUAUCCAAGUGGUGCAGCCGCUACUAAUGGUUCGUUUGUUCAACGAUUAAAACCCU